UGGAGGAGAAGGUUAGCGGCUACUGUUCAAAAAAGAAACAACAUGUCUCCACUUCCAACGAAGCACAACAAACGAAUCUUUUUGUGCACACAUCCGCCGCUACGACUACACUAGUUGUGUUCGUCCUUAUUACGUUGAGCACCGCAUCGGGAAGACCGUGUGCGAAUACUGUUUGACCCAUGGAAGAGAGCAUGAGUUUGCAACGUUGUGUUGAGUUGAUUUAUUUGGGAUUUACUUUUAUUAUUAUUAUUAUUAUUUUUCUAUCUUUUUUUUCUUUCUUCAUUUAAUUUGGAAAAAGCCAUACAAACUUUUGUUGAUCUCAUUUAUUUUAAUUACACUGAAAUUAGGAUAAAAGAUAUUGAGAAGUUUGUCUUUGGACUUGGUCUUUGCCCAUAGAUUAGGUCCAUUAAGCUGCUUUUAGCACCUCUUGUAUGUUAUAAACAAUCCGUAAGUUUGUAACAUUGUAAACUUUAUUAAGUAAACAUUGUAAAUUUUAUUAAGUUGUUGUUGAUUA
This is a long non-coding RNA of Lathyrus oleraceus (garden pea), 514 nucleotides long. RefSeq lists it as uncharacterized. Lineage: Eukaryota; Viridiplantae; Streptophyta; Magnoliopsida; Fabales; Fabaceae. The record is from RefSeq and is a predicted model, not a curated record. The transcript has 2 exons.